This 1128-nucleotide ribosomal RNA is filed under the name Terriera guizhouensis. RNAcentral describes it as "Terriera sp. JZ-2019a partial small subunit ribosomal RNA". It matches the Rfam family "Bacterial small subunit ribosomal RNA", at positions 387 to 1197 of the family's 1533-position model. Lineage: Eukaryota; Fungi; Ascomycota; Leotiomycetes; Rhytismatales; Rhytismataceae. The record is from RNAcentral.
GCCCGCGACAGCACUUGGCAGAAUGGGGGGGAUAGCCUAGCGAUAGGUGAAAGAGGAUUCUUAGUUAUUAAGCCCUUUUCCCCCCACCCUGACUACGUCUAAAGAAGUUCUGGAUAUAAAACUGAAAUAUGACAAUUUUAUAUCAGAAGUCUUGACCAAAUUACGUGCCAGCAGUCGCGGUAAUACGUAGAAGACGAGUGUUAGUCAUCUUUAAUAGGUUUAAAGGGUACCUAGACGGCAUUAUUAACCCUAAACGGAAAUAGUUUUGCUAGAGUUUUAUAUGAGAAGGGGAGUAUUUACGGAGUAGAGAUGAAAUUCUUUGAUACCUUAAGGACUGGCAAGGGCGAAAGCGGCCUUCUAUGUAAAAACUGACGUUGAGGGACGGAGGCUUAGAUAGCGAACAGGAUUAGAUACCCUAGUAGUCUUUGCAGAGAAUUAUGAAUGCCAUAGAUUAGAUUUUCUGGUUUAUAAAUGAAAGUGUAAGCAUUCCACCUCAUGAGUAAUGUGGCAACGCAGGAACUGAAAUCAUUAGACCGUUUCUGAGAACAGUAGUGAAGUAUGUUAUUUAAUUCGAUGGCCCUCGAAAAACCUUACCACAACUUGAAUUUAGCAUAGGCGAUCAUCUGAGGAAGGAGUGAUUAAGCCUUUAGUAGGACCAUUCGUGGGUGUUUGUACUGGAUAAUUUUUUUUUUUAUUCAGCACAAGCUGACGGGCUAGGUAAUCUACGGAUUAAGCUGACGUGCUUAACCUACGGAUUAAGCUAUGGCCUAGUGUGAAAUCUAAGCACUGAUUAUGGUAGAUUUCGUAGUUGUAAAAUUGCAUCUUUUUUUUUUCGUCUCACCGUGCUCUCUUGCGCAGAGAUGAAAAAAAAAACGAUCUUUAAUUUUUUUAUUUUCGUCUCACCUUUUACCCCUACUGACACAGAAGUAAGGCUGAGAUGAGAAUAAAAAUUGCACUAAACGGUGUUAAACAAGUGUUGCACGGUUGUCUUCAGUUAAUGUCGUGAGAUGAUGGUUAGCUCCAUAAAAUUAGCGGAAACCCCGGCUUUAUUUUUAAAUUUUUUAUCAUAAAGCAGUUCAUCAUUAUAUCGAAUAAUCGUGAUAACAGGACCAAGACAAAUUCAUUCUU